RNAcentral lists this ribosomal RNA (243 nucleotides) under uncultured bacterium. RNAcentral's name for it is "partial 16S ribosomal RNA". The record is from RNAcentral.
CUGCUGCCUCCCGUAGGAGUCUGGGCCGUGUCUCAGUCCCAAUGCGGCCGAUCAACCUCUCAGUUCGGCUACAGAUCGUCGCCUUGGUGAGCCUUUACCUCACCAACUAGCUAAUCUGACGCGAGUCCAUCCAUAAGCGAUAAAUCUUUCAAAUAUCUGCCAUGCGGUAAAUAUUCAAUAUGCGGUAUUAGUCCACGUUUCCAUGGAUUAUCCCCCUCUUAUGGGCAGGUUACUCACGCGUUA